UCUGCCCCUGACUCUGGGAUAAGCGUUGGAAACGACGUCUAAUACCGGAUACGAGCUGCGACCGCAUGGUCAGCAGUUGGAAAGAAUUUCGGUCAGGGAUGAGCUCGCGGCCUAUCAGCUUGUUGGUGAGGUAAUGGCUCACCAAGGCGUCGACGGGUAGCCGGCCUGAGAGGGUGACCGGCCACACUGGGACUGAGACACGGCCCAGACUCCUACGGGAGGCAGCAGUGGGGAAUAUUGCACAAUGGGCGCAAGCCUGAUGCAGCAACGCCGCGUGAGGGACGACGGCCUUCGGGUUGUAAACCUCUUUUAGCAAGGAAGAAGCGAAAGUGACGGUACUUGCAGAAAAAGCGCCGGCUAACUACGUG
RNAcentral lists this ribosomal RNA (368 nucleotides) under uncultured bacterium. Its description in RNAcentral is "bacterial SSU rRNA". It matches the Rfam family "Bacterial small subunit ribosomal RNA", at positions 125 to 507 of the family's 1533-position model. The record is from RNAcentral.